Molecule: long non-coding RNA, 221 nt
Filed under: Hordeum vulgare
Lineage: Eukaryota; Viridiplantae; Streptophyta; Magnoliopsida; Poales; Poaceae
Description: long non-coding RNA (HVUL_LNC002361)
Source: RNAcentral
GGUUUCCUCCUGCCGCCGCCAUCUCCUUCCUCCCCCUCCAUCUCUUCCUCUCCUCCCCAGGUAAGCUUCCUGUAGGUAGCAGAGAGUACAGAGAAGGGAGAGUCGCCGGCGUCUACCCCCGCGUGCGUCGUCGGGCGGCACGGCCGCCAUGUCCGGGGGCUCGGGGCGGCUCCCCGCAUCCCAUUCCCGGCGUUAGGACCCCCGAGGAGCGACCCCCCCCC